UACGAAGGGGGCUAGCGUUGCUCGGAAUCACUGGGCGUAAAGCGCACGUAGGCGGAUCUUUAAGUCAGGGGUGAAAUCCUGGAGCUCAACUCCAGAACUGCCUUUGAUACUGGGGAUCUCGAGUCCGGGAGAGGUGAGUGGAACUCCGAGUGUAGAGGUGAAAUUCGUAGAUAUUAGGAAGAACACCAGUGGCGAAGGCGGCUUACUGGUCCGGCACUGACGCUGAGG
This 228-nucleotide ribosomal RNA is filed under the name uncultured bacterium. RNAcentral's name for it is "partial 16S ribosomal RNA". It matches the Rfam family "Bacterial small subunit ribosomal RNA", at positions 524 to 751 of the family's 1533-position model. The record is from RNAcentral.